AACAGCAGCCAUAUCACCCUGCAACUCACAACUGGCAACCCACUGAAGCUAAGCAGGUGUGAGCCUGGUCAGUACCUGGAUGGGAGACCUCCUGGGAAAAACUAAGGUUGCUCCUGGAG
Molecule: ribosomal RNA, 119 nt
Organism: Lepisosteus oculatus (spotted gar)
Lineage: Eukaryota; Metazoa; Chordata; Actinopteri; Semionotiformes; Lepisosteidae
Source: Ensembl